UGCGGCGGGCCAACUGGAUGUC
Molecule: unclassified non-coding RNA, 22 nt
Filed under: Mus musculus (house mouse)
Lineage: Eukaryota; Metazoa; Chordata; Mammalia; Rodentia; Muridae
Description: oocyte_clustered_small_RNA10985
Source: RNAcentral